GCCGAAAUAGCUCAGUUGGGAGAGCGUUAGACUGAAGGUCUUAAAGGUCCCUGGUUCGAUCCCGGGUUUCGGCA
Molecule: non-coding RNA, 74 nt
Organism: Neogale vison (American mink)
Lineage: Eukaryota; Metazoa; Chordata; Mammalia; Carnivora; Mustelidae
Source: the annotation of a RefSeq genome assembly